This 425-nucleotide unclassified non-coding RNA is filed under the name uncultured Eubacteriales bacterium. RNAcentral's name for it is "uncultured Clostridiales bacterium partial 16S-23S ribosomal RNA intergenic spacer". The stretch from base 119 to 192 matches the Rfam family "tRNA". Lineage: Bacteria; Bacillati; Bacillota; Clostridia; Eubacteriales. The record is from RNAcentral.
AAGGAGUAUCAUCGAAAGAUGAGAAACUAGGUCGAUCGUUCAGGUUUUAUACGCAACUGUUUAGUUUUGGGGGACCAGUUUUGUGGUUCUUCUGGGGUAAAUUAAAUAUGGGUAAGAGGGGCUUAUAGCUCAGUUGGUUAGAGCGCGCGCCUGAUAAGCGCGAGGUCGGUGGUUCAAGUCCACCUAGGCCCACCAUUACACAAUUAAUAAUCCCCAAAGCAGAGGAUAGACCGAAAAUAGGAAUCGGCAACGCCGGUUCCUUAAAAUUAGUUACCGUUUAAAGAUUAAGAUGGGGGUGUAGCUCAGCUGGGAGAGCACCUGCCUUGCAAGCAGGGGGUCAGGAGUUCGAAUCUCCUCAUCUCCACCAUUUGAACCUUGAAAACUACACAGCGAAUCAAAUAGUAUGUUCUGUCAAGCGAAUGCCG